This 67-nucleotide small RNA is filed under the name Psychrobacillus sp. OK032. RNAcentral's name for it is "Bacillaceae-1 RNA". It matches the Rfam family "Bacillaceae-1 RNA". Lineage: Bacteria; Bacillati; Bacillota; Bacilli; Caryophanales; Bacillaceae. The record is from RNAcentral.
AACAGGGGAACGAAGGCUAAGUACGCCACAUCGUGUGGCAAUGCCUUCGUGACCAACAUCCUGUUGG